This 1244-nucleotide ribosomal RNA is filed under the name metagenome. RNAcentral's name for it is "bacterial LSU rRNA". It matches the Rfam family "Bacterial large subunit ribosomal RNA", at positions 1564 to 2817 of the family's 2925-position model. The record is from RNAcentral.
UGAAUACGAGACGCUAAGGCGUCGAAGUAGUGUAUGUCAUACUUCCAAGAAAAGCUUGCACUGUCAUAGAUAAAAAACGCCUGUACCAUAACCGACACAGGUGGGUAGGUAGAGUAUACUAAGGGGCGCGAGAUAACUCUCUCUAAGGAACUCGGCAAAAUAACUCCGUAACUUCGGGAGAAGGAGUGCCUUAUUCGUAAGGUUGCAAUAACAAGAUCCAAGCAACUGUUUAUCAAAAACACAGGUCUCCGCUAAGUCGUAAGACGAUGUAUGGGGGCUGACGCCUGCCCAGUGCCAGAAGGUUAAAGAAGUUGGUUAGCAAUUGCGAAGCUGAUAACUGAAGCCCUGGUGAACGGCGGCCGUAACGAUAACGGUCCUAAGGUAGCGAAAUUCCUUGUCGGGUAAGUUCCGACCCGCACGAAAGGCGUAAUGAUUUGGAUACUGUCUCGGAGAGGGGCUCGGUGAAAUAGACUUGUCUGUGAAGAUGCGGACUACCUGCACCAGGACAGAAAGACCCUAUGAAGCUUUACUGUAACUUGAAAUUGAAAUUGGACUUUAUUCGCGCAGUAUAGGUGGGAGGCGUUGAUUAUAAUCUUGUGGGAUUAUUGGAGCCAUCAGUGAGAUACCACUCUUGUAAUGUUAGAUUUCUAACUUUGAAUCAUUAUCUGGUCAAAGAACAGUUUCAGGCGGGCAGUUUGACUGGGGCGGUCGCCUCCUAAACGGUAACGGAGGCGUACAAAGGUUUCCUCUGAACGGUUAGAAAUCGUAUCUAGAGUGUAAAGGCAUAAGGGAGCUUGACUGUGAGACCUACAAGUCGAGCAGGGACGAAAGUCGGUCUUAGUGAUCUGACGGUACUGAGUGGAAAGGCCGUCACUCAACGGAUAAAAGUUACUCUAAGGAUAACAGGCUGAUCUCCCCCAAGAGUUCACAUCGACGGGGAGGUUUGGCACCUCGAUGUCGGCUCAUCGCAUCCUGGGGCGGUAGUACGUCCCAAGGGUUGGGCUGUUCGCCCAUGAAAGCGGUACGCGAGCUGGGUUCAGAACGUCGUGAGACAGUUCGGUCCAUAUCCGGUGUAGGCGUUAGAAUAUUGAGAGGAGCCUUCUUUAGUACGAGAGGACCGAGAAGGACAUACCUCUGGUGUACCAGUUAUCGUGCCAACGGUAAACGCUGGGUAGCUAUGUAUGGAGUGGAUAACCGCUGAAAGCAUCUAAGUGGGAAGCCCACCUCAAGAUAAGUAUUCUCAC